Small nuclear RNA from Phacochoerus africanus (Common warthog), 107 nucleotides. NCBI's taxonomy places the organism in Eukaryota, Metazoa, Chordata, Mammalia, Artiodactyla, Suidae. The record is from RefSeq and is a predicted model, not a curated record.
GUGCUCUCCUCAGCAGCACAUAUACUCAAAUUGGAACAAUACAGAAAAGAUUAGCAUGGCCCCUGCAUAAGUAUGACAUGCAAAUUCAUGAAGCAUUCCAUAUUUUU